This 470-nucleotide ribosomal RNA is filed under the name uncultured bacterium. Its description in RNAcentral is "partial 16S ribosomal RNA". It matches the Rfam family "Bacterial small subunit ribosomal RNA", at positions 28 to 507 of the family's 1533-position model. The record is from RNAcentral.
GGUGAACGCUGGCGGCGUGCCUAAGACAUGCAAGUCGAGCGGGGCAGGUUUAUACCUGUUCAGCGGCGGACGGGUGAGUAACGCGUGGGUGACCUACCCGGAAGAGGCGGACAACCUGGGGAAACCCAGGCUAAUCCGCCAUGUGGUCCUGUCCUGUGGGGCAGGACUAAAGGGUGGAUAGCCCGCUUCCGGAUGGGCCCGCGUCCCAUCAGCUAGUUGGUGGGGUAAAGGCCCACCAAGGCGACGACGGGUAGCCGGUCUGAGAGGAUGGCCGGCCACAGGGGCACUGAGACACGGGCCACACUCCUACGGGAGGCAGCAGUUAGGAAUCGUCCGCAAUGGGCGCAAGCCUGACGGAGCGACGCCGCUUGGAGGAGGAAGCCCUGCGGGGUGUAAACUCCUGAACUGGGGACGAAAGCCCCGUGUAGGGGGAUGACGGUACCCAGGUAAUAGCGCCGGCCAACUCCGUG